CCCAAGGGAUGAGCCAGGGAUGUGGUCGGGACAAGGGAUACGGUGUGCGAUCACAAACAGCUGGGGACGGACAAGACCCUCUCCUGAAGCUGCUCAUCUCUGAAGCGAAGAAGAAACUGGCUGCUGUCCUGGGUCUCGCCCGCUUUCCAUCCUCCGACUUGUAAAGAAACUGCCUUCAUGGCCCCCAAGUCCCGCGUAGUGUGGCCACUAUCCACUUCUGUGAUUUCAUCUGUAUCCCUCCCCCUCGCUCUCCCCCUUGGCACCGGCUGCCCCCUCCGGUGGGCGUAUUCUGCACCUGUCCUCAUUCCCCUAGCUCCCUCUUCAGAGCUCCGCACCAGGAUCCCUUCCUUAGGGUGACCCCUCAGGCUAGACCAGGAUACGGAUUUCACAGGACCUCAUGGCAACCGGAACUUUCCUUCUUCACCCUUACAUAGUCGUUCGUCUGAGUAAUGCUUGUGUUAAGCUCCGUCUUGCACGUUACAGUGGAGUGGGGCAGACGUUUCUAUUGGACCCCGGCGGCUAGCCCAGUGCCAGAACGUCACAGAUGGUGAAGUACCUGGGAAACAACCAGAUGCACAAGGACGAGAUCCACACCCGCACGCGUCUCAGCAAGCCUGGUGUUAGGCUGCCCUGGCACGAUUGCCGCGUUCCACGUGCAGGAGGGGCCAGCGCCAGUGGCUUCUUGAUGGGGACAGCGCACAUCACACAGGCCUCUGCUAGGACUGUUGAGCUCUGAAGCGAGGCCAACUGAGUAGCAUGCACUCGAGGUGUACGUAUGUGCCUACACGGGUUGGUAAAGCUGUAGGCCCUCAACGAAUGUUCGAUUGCAACCUGUACCGUCUUUCUGUGACAACGCAACGUCAGUCCUGCACACGACAACACGGAAGCCUCCGGUCUGAGCACCACAGAGAACUUAUUUAUUCCCAGAUGAGGUCAAUAAAUAAUUCUUCCUA
Long non-coding RNA from Leopardus geoffroyi (Geoffroy's cat), 953 nucleotides. RefSeq lists it as uncharacterized. The record is from RefSeq and is a predicted model, not a curated record. The transcript has 2 exons. NCBI's taxonomy places the organism in Eukaryota, Metazoa, Chordata, Mammalia, Carnivora, Felidae.